Molecule: long non-coding RNA, 347 nt
Filed under: Monodelphis domestica (gray short-tailed opossum)
Lineage: Eukaryota; Metazoa; Chordata; Mammalia; Didelphimorphia; Didelphidae
Description: lncRNA (ENSMODG00000039469.1)
Source: RNAcentral
CUAGCACUUCCUUCCUGCCAUGUGGAACUUGCUUCCUGGUGUUGGAGGAGAGAGGAGCUUGUUCAGCCCAGUCUGGAGUGGCAUGCUCUUCUUGGUUCAGCUGGAAGACACAAGCUUCUUAAGGUCAGACUUUGCUGCCACCUAUUGGGACAAGCACAGAUACUGCACCCAACAAUCUCCUUUUGUGUCCUGAUAAGAUGGUUUUCAGCAUAUGAAUUCAACAUGAUUUUCCAAACUUGCAGAGCUGCUUUUUGGACAACCUUCCUUGAACCAGGUCAGUCCAAAAGGUAUCAUUGGAUAAACUGUUUUUCCCAAAGCUCCUUGGGUAAAUUCUCUCCCAUCGAUCA